AUUGAACGCUGGCGGCAGGCUUAACACAUGCAAGUCGAGCGGGGUGAUGGUGCUUGCACUAUCACUUAGCGGCGGACGGGUGUGUAAUGCUUAGGAAUCUGCCUAUUAGUGGGGGACAACAUCUCGAAGGGGAUGCUAAUACCGCAUACGUCCUACGGGAGAAAGCAGGGGAUCACUUGUGACCUUGCGCUAAUAGAUGAGCCUAAGUCGGAUUAGCUAGUUGGUGGGGUAAAGGCCUACCAAGGCGACGAUCUGUAGCGGGUCUGAGAGGAUGAUCCGCCACACUGGGACUGAGACGCGGCCCAGACUCCUACGGGAGGCAGCAGUGGGGAAUAUUGGACAAUGGGGGGAACCCUGAUCCAGCCAUGCCGCGUGUGUGAAGAAGGCCUUAUGGUUGUAAAGCACUUUAAGCGAGGAGGAGGCUCUUUUGGUUAAUACCCAAGAUGAGUGGACGUUACUCGCAGAAUAAGCACCGGCUAACUCUGUGCCAGCCGCCGCGGUAA
RNAcentral lists this ribosomal RNA (503 nucleotides) under uncultured bacterium. RNAcentral describes it as "partial 16S ribosomal RNA". It matches the Rfam family "Bacterial small subunit ribosomal RNA", at positions 30 to 523 of the family's 1533-position model. The record is from RNAcentral.